RNAcentral lists this ribosomal RNA (899 nucleotides) under Mammaliicoccus sciuri. RNAcentral's name for it is "bacterial SSU rRNA". It matches the Rfam family "Bacterial small subunit ribosomal RNA", at positions 39 to 921 of the family's 1533-position model. The record is from RNAcentral. Lineage: Bacteria; Bacillati; Bacillota; Bacilli; Caryophanales; Staphylococcaceae.
GUGGGGGUACUAUACUGCAGUCGAGCGAACAGAUGAGAAGCUUGCUUCUCUGAUGUUAGCGGCGGACGGGUGAGUAACACGUGGGUAACCUACCUAUAAGACUGGGAUAACUCCGGGAAACCGGGGCUAAUACCGGAUAAUAUUUUGAACCGCAUGGUUCAAUAGUGAAAGACGGUUUCGGCUGUCACUUAUAGAUGGACCCGCGCCGUAUUAGCUAGUUGGUAAGGUAACGGCUUACCAAGGCGACGAUACGUAGCCGACCUGAGAGGGUGAUCGGCCACACUGGAACUGAGACACGGUCCAGACUCCUACGGGAGGCAGCAGUAGGGAAUCUUCCGCAAUGGGCGAAAGCCUGACGGAGCAACGCCGCGUGAGUGAUGAAGGUCUUCGGAUCGUAAAACUCUGUUGUUAGGGAAGAACAAAUUUGUUAGUAACUGAACAAGUCUUGACGGUACCUAACCAGAAAGCCACGGCUAACUACGUGCCAGCAGCCGCGGUAAUACGUAGGUGGCAAGCGUUAUCCGGAAUUAUUGGGCGUAAAGCGCGCGUAGGCGGUUUCUUAAGUCUGAUGUGAAAGCCCACGGCUCAACCGUGGAGGGUCAUUGGAAACUGGGAAACUUGAGUGCAGAAGAGGAGAGUGGAAUUCCAUGUGUAGCGGUGAAAUGCGCAGAGAUAUGGAGGAACACCAGUGGCGAAGGCGGCUCUCUGGUCUGUAACUGACGCUGAUGUGCGAAAGCGUGGGGAUCAAACAGGAUUAGAUACCCUGGUAGUCCACGCCGUAAACGAUGAGUGCUAAGUGUUAGGGGGUUUCCGCCCCUUAGUGCUGCAGCUAACGCAUUAAGCACUCCGCCUGGGGAGUACGACCGCAAGGUUGAAACUCAAAGGAAUUGACGGGGACC